ACCACCAUUCUUCCUGUUUCUCCGCCAGUGUCAGAAGAUCCAUGCUCUUGGGUGGGAGAGUGUGAAACCACCUCCUAGCAUUUGACUGUGGGAGGGAAGUGACCACAGGAUGUCACCAUCUGGGUCAGAAGUGUGCAAGUAUUUGACAGGAAGCACCCAGUGCUUCCAGUAAAGCAGAAUUGCACAUUUGGAAAGUUGUUCCCUACCCACCACCCUGUGACGACAGCUGAGAUAACUUUGAGGUCUCUCACUGGAUCUAGAACCCACUGAUUAGGCUACAUUGGCCGGCCAGCGAGCACCGAGGAGCUUCCUUUCUCUGCUCUCUCUGUGCUGAGCUUACAGAAACAACAGAGUGAAGCUUUAUACAUGUGAAUGGGAGGCACACAAAAGAGCACACUGUCCUGAGUUUGCAUGAGUAAUUGUGCAUGACUUCAGUCUUCCCCCGGUGAAACUUUGGGCUGUCUUCCCGGAGCCUGAAGAGUGAACCAGAAGCUAACAUGAGAGAUUGAGAGAUCAGAGAGUGUGUCAUCGUCUCCUGUCUGUCUACGCAGACUUAUUGCCUGGGGUUUGGAAGAACUCCAGCCAGAAGCUGAAGUUUGAACUUUCCUCCAGUUUUCAUUUUGAAUUGCAACCUGACUUUAUUCCUCCCCCCCGCCAGAUCUUUAAUUUAGUGAACACAAUAAAGAAUUUAAAGACCUCAAAUAAAAUAGUUCCAGCACCCGAAUAUGUAAUUAUGUACAGAUAAUAGCAUAAUUGUAAUUAACUGCUCUACCUAGCUG
Meriones unguiculatus (Mongolian gerbil) is the source of this 779-nucleotide long non-coding RNA. RefSeq lists it as uncharacterized. The transcript is spliced from 4 exons. NCBI's taxonomy places the organism in Eukaryota, Metazoa, Chordata, Mammalia, Rodentia, Muridae. The record is from RefSeq and is a predicted model, not a curated record.